UAGUCGAUAGAGGAGAAGAGCUUCUCUGUUUCUUUGAAACAAUAAAACCGAAACCGGAUUAUUCUAGUUCCAAACUGGGUUGGUGAA
Molecule: transfer RNA, 87 nt
Filed under: Arabidopsis thaliana (thale cress)
Lineage: Eukaryota; Viridiplantae; Streptophyta; Magnoliopsida; Brassicales; Brassicaceae
Source: RNAcentral